Long non-coding RNA from Ochotona curzoniae (black-lipped pika), 901 nucleotides. RefSeq lists it as uncharacterized. Lineage: Eukaryota; Metazoa; Chordata; Mammalia; Lagomorpha; Ochotonidae. The record is from RefSeq and is a predicted model, not a curated record. The transcript is spliced from 3 exons.
UUAAAUGGUAGUACUUCAUUAGGCAUAACAAUUAAAUAUUGAAUUGACAAGAAAUUAAAUUGAUGUCUAAUGAGGAAAGACCAAGGAAACAGGGCAAGGAAACAGGGAUUUUCAUUUCACAGAAAGACCACAGUGCAGUGCUAGAAGUAUUUACUCUCACUGGUGUCUUUGCCUAAUUCCUGUAUUAGAAAGCAAAGAGUUCUUUUUUUGACAAACUUUUGUCAUUUUAUCUGAAAGGCAGAGAGGUCUUGCACCUGCUGCUUUCCUCCCUACAUGCUCACGACAUCAGGGCUGUGCCAGGCUGAAGCCGGGCGUCUGGAUCCCACCCGCCACCUGCCAUUUCCCAGGCUCCCCAGUACUACUCCUGGAAGGGUAGCAGGUCAUGGCCCAUGUGCCUUGACCCCUGUUACCCAUGCGGCAUAAGCAAAUGGACUUCCUGGUUACUCACCUUGUGCUGGUCCAGCCCUCUCUGAUGUGAUCAACUGGGGAGUGAAGCAUCCAUGGAAGGGGCCGUAUUCUGCCAGCACUGUACUGCACGCUGCCUGGCUCAGUGGGCCUGGGAGUCUGCAUCUCCGAUGGUUGCUGACGGGGUGGAAGAGCGACUAGGACAACAGCAGCACCGGCGGCGAGGGGCAGCUGGGUGGCUCUGCUCUGCUGCGGGGGUGUCGGUGUGACGAGGUUGGAGAGCACAGAGAGCAAGCCACGAAAGGUGCAGCCCUGUCUGCCCAGCUCUGUCUGCCGUGGAGAGCAGCUUGCAGCCAAGAGAGCCUGCACAGCGGAAACCUGGUCAACAGUGAUAUCCACUCAGACUGCAGAACUAGCAAGCCUGGGCUGGCACAGGGUGCUUUCCCCAGACGAGGGGGCCAGCCAUGCUGUGGCCUGCACCCCCAAAGGCUGCUGU